AGCGGCGGAUGGGUGAGUAACACGUGGGGAACCUGCCCCUAAGUCUGGGAUACCAUUUGGAAACAGGUGCUAAUACCGGAUAAUAAAGCAGAUCGCAUGAUCAGCUUUUGAAAGGCGGCGUAAGCUGUCGCUAAGGGAUGGCCCCGCGGUGCACUAGCUAGUUGGUAAGGUAACGGCUUACCAAGGCGACGAUGCAUAGCCGAGUUGAGAGACUGAUCGGCCACAUUGGGACUGAGACACGGCCCAAACUCCUACGGGAGGCAGCAGUAGGGAAUCUUCCACAAUGGACGCAAGUCUGAUGGAGCAACGCCGCGCGAGUGAAGAAGGUUUUCGGAUCGUAAAGCUCUGUUGUUGGUGAAGAAGGAUAGAGGUAGUAACUGGCCUUUAUUUGACGGUAAUCAACCAGAAAGUCACGGCUAACUACGUGCCAGCAGCCGCGGUAAUACGUAGGUGGCAAGCGUUGUCCGGAUUUAUUGGGCGUAAAGCGAGCGCAGGCGGAAAAAUAAGUCUAAUGUGAAAGCCCUCGGCUUAACCGAGGAACUGCAUCGGAAACUGUUUUUCUUGAGUGCAGAAGAGGAGAGUGGAACUCCAUGUGUAGCGGUGGAAUGCGUAGAUAUAUGGAAGAACACCAGUGGCGAAAGGCGGCUCUCUGGUCUGCAACUGACGCUGAGGCUCGAAAGCAUGGGUAGCGAACAGGAUUAGAUACCCUGGUAGUCCAUGCCGUA
RNAcentral lists this ribosomal RNA (725 nucleotides) under uncultured bacterium. Its description in RNAcentral is "bacterial SSU rRNA". It matches the Rfam family "Bacterial small subunit ribosomal RNA", at positions 94 to 804 of the family's 1533-position model. The record is from RNAcentral.